This is a long non-coding RNA of Macaca mulatta (Rhesus monkey), 2681 nucleotides long. The record is from Ensembl. Lineage: Eukaryota; Metazoa; Chordata; Mammalia; Primates; Cercopithecidae.
UCUCUGGUCUGCUGCUUCUCUCUCCCACACUGCCAGCCCGGCCUGGUCACACUGAGGUGUGGUUCAUUCCAGGCCCCAGCAUGUACCAGCCCUAUGACCUGGACAGGUCCCUGGCCGCCUGUGCCUCAGUUUCCUUACUGCAAGAUUUUUGGGAAUUGAAUGACCUACCACCUAUAAAACUCUCAGGACAGAGCAGACUGCAGAGGUGAGUGUCCACCCACUCUGUCUUGGGCUCCUGUGAUGGACACUGGGGCGUUCACCAUGCAUAUGCCCUCCUCCAGCAUUUCCUACACUGAAGACAAAAGGGCUUUGGAAACGGAAACUGUAGGUUUCUCUCUACAGUCUCCAGAACAAAGAGUCAGCUGGCCAGGUCCCCAAGGCCUGUGUGGCCUGGCCCUGCUCACCUCAUCAAAACCACCCUCUACUCAUGCACUGCUCUUCCCUCUUCACAGGGUCUUGGGAUGUGCUGCUCCGUCCUCCUGGCCUGGUAGCCUUUCUUGCUAUCUUGUCAGCGUUCACCUGUCACUCAGACUGGAUCCCUUUCAGACUCACCAGGCGGAACCACUGGGAGGGCACCGGCCGGCUGGGCGAAGGCUGCCUCUACUUGGGAUGCCAGAAGAGAGGCCUUGGGCAGGCCAUCUGGGAGGACCCUCUUCCUUUCUCCUGUAGGACGUUUACAAAAGGUGGUCCUGGGGAUGCUGACGGGGGGGCUUGGUCCCUAACAAGUCACUUACCUCUCUAAUGGACAGUCGGGGCAGUGGAGGCUGCAAGCCUGUUGGAGAGGGGGAGUGUGUCCAGAGGCGGUGCUGGGGAGGAGGGAGACCAACUGGCUCCUGUGAGCCUGAGCCCUGCCCUUUCUCCCCUAGCCUGUCCCUGCCCUUCCUGGGUCAGGGUCUGGAUCUGUUGCUGGCAAUCAGGAUCCCUGGGAGCCUGGCAGAGACACUGGCAGAUGUGCAGGCCCUACCGCAGAGCUUCAGGUGCAGCUGGUCGGGUGGAGCCUGACAUUGAUAUUUUUAAUUAAUUAAUUAAUUAAUUAAUUAACUAAUUUUUGAAAUGGAGUCUUACUCUGUUGCCAGGCCAGAUUGCAGUGGUGUGAUCUGGGCUCACUGCAACCUCCACCUCCUGGGUUCAAGCGAUUCUCCUGCCUCAGCCUCCUGAGUAGCUGAGACCACAGGCACGUGCCACCACACCUGGCUAAUUUUUGUGUUUUUAGUAGAGGUGGGGUUUCACCAUGUCGGCCGGGAUAGUUCUCGAUCUGUUGACCUUGUUAUCCACCCGCCUUGGCCUCCCAAAGUGCUGGGAUUACAGGCGUGAGCUACCGUGCCUGGCCUUAUUUUUAUUUUUAUUGACACAUAGUAUUAAUAAUUGUACAGAUUUAUGGGAUACAGUGUGAUGUCUUGAAUCAUGUAUAUAUUAUGCAAAUCAGGAUAAUUAGCAAAUCUAUCAUCUCAAAUGUGUAUUAUCUCCUUGGUAGUUUUUACAGGCACUCCAGGAGGGUCCAGCCUUCAGCCAGCCUUGACAACCAUCUCCUAAAGGCCUGUCCUGUUGUCACCCAGAGUGUGGCUCUUUGCAGCAUCCAUGUCUGGUUUAGAUGGCUGCUGGAUGACAAUGGCAAUGGUCGUUCUUCCUCCUCCUCCUCUUUCUCCUCUUCCUCGUUGUCUUCCCCCUUCUCCUCCUGCACUUCUUACUCCUCUUUUUCUCUUCCUCCAUCCUCUUCCAUCUAUUUAUUGUGCAAAUUAUGAAGAACCUUCUGUGUGGCAGAUGCCGACAAAGACCCUAGGGAUGGCGUUGGGAAUAGAACAGAUGCGGUUCCUGACCCCAUGGAGAUUCUGCUGGUGGAGCAAGAUGCUGGUGGAGUCAGACUGGCACACACAGAGAAAUGUGAAAUAUGUCAGGUGAGGAUGGAGGUCAUAAAAAGUGACGCAGAUACUCGGGAGGCUGAGGCAGGAGAAUCGCUUAAACCAGGGAGGCGGAGGUUGCAGUGAGCCGAGAUCGUGCCAUUGCACUCCAGCCUGGGCAACAAGAGCAAAACUCUGUCUCAAUUAAAAAAAAAAAAAAAGUGAAGCAGAGAAGGUUAUGCAGCAAGGAGGAUGGUGCUGUUUUGAAUUGGUUGAGGCACUGAGUAGAGGCCUGGGGAAGCAGAGGAGGAAUUCACAUGGCUGGGGAGUUGGGGAGCACUCUGGCACAUGCCGAGGGAACAGCGUGUGUGAAAGUCCUGAGGCUGGAGCGUGCCCGGCAUGGGCGAUUGUUACUCCUUUUGAACUCUGCUUCUUUUUCCAUGGUUUCUCCUUCACUUGCAUCUUCUUUAACUUUUCCCUCCCUUUCAUCUUCUGCUGCCAUCACCCUCCUCACCAUUGUCUUCAUGGAAACUCUUUUCUGAGCCCACAGAGUCCCCCCAGAUCUCUGUAUGAGGCGAGUGUGUGUCUUAGUGAACUUCCUCCUGGCGGAGGUCAGUGAAUGUCCACCCGGCACUGCUUCAUGCCUCUGUGCUUUGUUCUGGAUCUUCCCUAUGUCCUGGAGUGUCUUCCUACCCUUGGUCCAUCCAGAAAACUCCUCUUCACUCUUCAAAACCUUGCCUCCACAUCUCAUCUGUGGGUAGACUGUGCAUCAGAGGCAGGGCCAGAGGCUGCCCCCUAUUAAUAGCCAAAGUGUGCACUUACUAUGUACCAUGAUGCUGGGCU